UACGAAGGGGGCGAGCGUUGUUCGGAAUUACUGGGCGUAAAGGGCGCGCAGGCGGCUCUGAAAGUCAGAUGUGAAAGCCCCGGGCUUAACCUGGGAAUUGCAUUUGAUACUCUGGAGCUUGAGUGUGGGAGAGGAGAGUGGAAUUCCCAGUGUAGAGGUGAAAUUCGUAGAUAUUGGGAAGAACACCGGUGGCGAAGGCGGUUCUCUGGGCCUGUUCUGACGCUGAGGAGCGAAAGCGUGGGGAGCGAACAGG
This 253-nucleotide ribosomal RNA is filed under the name uncultured bacterium. RNAcentral's name for it is "partial 16S ribosomal RNA". It matches the Rfam family "Bacterial small subunit ribosomal RNA", at positions 524 to 776 of the family's 1533-position model. The record is from RNAcentral.